CAAGCAGGUUGGGCAGUUGCAUACUACGGUAUGAGGAAAGUCCGAGCCCCAUAGAGCAGAAUAACGGCUAACGGCCGCCGAGGGUAACCUUAGGGACAGUGCAACAGAGAUAUACCGCCGCUUUUUGCGGUAAGGGUGGAAAGGCGAGGUAAGAGCUCACCGAUCGGAUGGAAACGUUUUGAUCCUGUAAACCCUAUUCGGGGCAACACCGACAGAAUAGGCUUGCUCGGCCUGUAAUUUCAAAGGGUGGCUUGAGCUGCGGAGUAAUUUGCAGACUGGAUAGAUAAUUGCCUUAAAUGACAGAACUCGGCUUACAGACCUGCUUGUAUG
Molecule: RNase P RNA, 330 nt
Filed under: Oscillospiraceae bacterium
Lineage: Bacteria; Bacillati; Bacillota; Clostridia; Eubacteriales; Oscillospiraceae
Description: RNase P RNA component class A
Rfam family: Bacterial RNase P class A
About the family: Ribonuclease P (RNase P) is a ubiquitous endoribonuclease, found in archaea, bacteria and eukarya as well as chloroplasts and mitochondria. Its best characterised activity is the generation of mature 5'-ends of tRNAs by cleaving the 5'-leader elements of precursor-tRNAs.
Source: RNAcentral